Molecule: unclassified non-coding RNA, 250 nt
Filed under: Homo sapiens (human)
Lineage: Eukaryota; Metazoa; Chordata; Mammalia; Primates; Hominidae
Description: single-pass membrane protein with aspartate rich tail 1 (ENSG00000272901.5)
Source: RNAcentral
GUCGAGGUCAGUCAUCGUUACCCGCAGCGGCGCCAUUUUGCCCAAACCGGUGAAAAUGUCCUUCGGCCUUCUCCGUGUGUUCUCCAUUGUGAUCCCCUUUCUCUAUGUCGGGACACUCAUUAGCAAGAACUUUGCUGCUCUACUUGAGGAACAUGACAUUUUUGUUCCAGAGGAUGAUGAUGAUGAUGACUAACAGGUCACGACCCCCAGGAGACCUGGAGGACUGAAUGCUGCUGCCCCCAAGGAGGAG